This 944-nucleotide long non-coding RNA is filed under the name Monodelphis domestica (gray short-tailed opossum). RNAcentral describes it as "lncRNA (ENSMODG00000048248.1)". Lineage: Eukaryota; Metazoa; Chordata; Mammalia; Didelphimorphia; Didelphidae. The record is from RNAcentral.
GGUUGGGGGGACGCCGAGGGGUCGGGAAUAGGUGGGGAAUUAAACUGAAGGCGCGGCGGGGUGGGGUAGGGGGCUCCUAAUCAAUGAGAGCUCGGGAUACUCCCGCAGGGGCGGAGCGAAGUCGAGACCGGAAGCUUUCCUAAGGCUCAGCCGGGUGGGCGGGGGUGGAGGAAUCCAAUGAGAGCUCCAGGAGUUCAGAGAGAGCGGGGAAUAACUGAGACAAUGCACUCUCCAAAAGUACUCCAAGACGAGCCGGGCCGAAGCCCAACGAAGCAGGAGGAACCAAUGAGAGCGCCCUAGGGAUUCCCCCCCCUCCUCCAGGGGCGGGGCACAGCCGAGAACUUUCCUAAGACGUUGCCGUGACUGGAGGAGCGGCGGAGAGAACCAAUGAGAAUGGCAGGGGCUCAGAGUGGGGCGUGACCGAGACUGUCAGCCUCCAUGAGGACUUAGUGAGGGAGGGGCCGGAGCGUCACAAAGUAGCGGAGGGGGGGGGGCGGGGCCGAGACAAUGAACUUUCCUAAGAGUUUCAGAGUUGGGAGGGGUAAACGAAGUAAGUGAAAGGGCGGGGCCUUGAGGAAGACCGGUUGCCAGUUAGCCUUGGGCAUGCCUCCGGGGGACGUGGCCAGACCUCUGCGAAGGAAAGUAGUCUCCCCUCGCCUAAGAUUUCUUUCUGUAUUUCAACCAAAACAACAUCAUGCAAUGGAAUGAAUGCCAAUACAGACAGGAGGGUCCAGCUGGCCUCCAUUAAGCCAGUGCCAAAGACCUGUGCCAUCAUAGAUUCAGAAGUCAUCGGCCCCCUCUGAGGCCCAGAAAAGGGGGCCACUGGAAGAAACAGAAGUCAAAUUCAGACUCAGAUCCUGCCAACACAAACCCAGGCCUUUCUGCUGGACCAUGCUGCCUCCCUAUGGUAGUAGGUGUUUAAUAAGUGGUCAAAUCUCCCCAAA